RNAcentral lists this long non-coding RNA (1675 nucleotides) under Monodelphis domestica (gray short-tailed opossum). Its description in RNAcentral is "lncRNA (ENSMODG00000040479.1)". Lineage: Eukaryota; Metazoa; Chordata; Mammalia; Didelphimorphia; Didelphidae. The record is from RNAcentral.
CCUUGUAUCCAAGAGAGUUUUGGAGUCAGGCUAGAUUGCUCUGCCCCAACACCAUCCUGAGAACUGACUGUUAAAUUUCAGUGUGAGCAUUUCCACUUUGGGAGCUGGCCAGUGCUACAAAUCAGGAACCAGGAGAAUGUUAAACACAGCAAUAAUGUACAAUGAUCAACUAUGAAUCAGUUGAAUAUUAUCAGCAAUGCAAGGAUCCAGUACAACUCCAAGGAACUCAUGAUGAAAAAGCUUAUCUAUCACCAUAGGAGGAACUGAUGGAGUCUGAAUACAAAAUGAAGAGGGAAUUCUUUGUGCCAACAAAAUCACAGAGCUGUCCUUUUUCUUGUAAUGAAGCUGAGAUAACAGUCAGGGAGUACAUUGGAAAGGCAGAACAUUGUACUGAAGAUCUGUGGCACUUGGAAAAUGUCUACCUAAGAUUCUCUCAGAGGGAAAAUUAAUUGAAAUACAAAAUGGAAAAGCUAAAGAAAACAAGUGAACUACUGUGGGUCCCUUAGGUUCUUCCAUUUUGGCUGAAGCUGUUUCCGCUGAUGAAUAAGAGCUGCCCGUUUGCUCCAUGCUAUGGCUGCUGCUAACUGCUGUGGAUGUCUUUGCUUAAGGAAUGUCUCAAGAAAAACAAACUGUGCUUGUAAGUUGUGAAUUCCAGAAAACAGAUGAGGCGAAUUCUCUCUCCUCUUCCUUCUCUUCCUUUUCCUUUUCCAAAUAGCAGGGUCAAAUUGGAACCAAAGCUUAUUGUACAAACAGAAGCAAAUGAAAGAAAUAUUGGAUUUGUAUGAGCUUCUUAUGGAAUUACUAGUUCUAAAACCAAAUACAUACGCAGAGUGAAUGCUACUGAAUCAGAUAGAAAAUACAACUUGGAGCAGAAGAGAUAGCAACACACAUUUAGAAUACAAUGGUAAUGAGAGACAUGUGGAGGAUACAGUGGUACCAAAUGGGUAACGUAACUCCUGGAAAUUUACAACUAGGAAGACCUUUCUUGAGUGUAAAACCAGCACUACUUUUUGGUGUAAAAGAAUAUUCUCCUUAAACUUGUCUUGUCCAUUAAGGGACUAGCUUUUCUUUUGUAUACACCUGUCCUCACUGUGCCACUCAACUAAAUGAGCUACACAUGUUCUACAUGUGUGGGAUUGUCUCCUACUAGUCCACUCUCUCUGAUGAGAUGGUUUAUGUGAAGUAGCCAGAAGAGAGAAAGAAAUUCCUUCCCACAAGUGUUUCACUCUUAGGAAUUAUGGAAUCAUAAGCUUUCAAACGAGUUCUCUAAUACAGGACUGCUCCAACUCUGGAAUCCAGGUUACUGUUGACAGUCUUCUAGUUAUUUGUAUUCCCCAGAGGCUUGGUUAAUAAGUUUGGUCAGUCAAUCUGUUAUUCCUUUCUUUACCUAAUCAAAGAAGUUCCCGCCUCAUAAAGACAUCACAGAGUAUAGAACAUCUUAUUUACACUUUUUUAAAUGAUAUUUUACAAAUUUCAUGUAAUAAUUUUUCACAUAAGUUUUCUCAAGUCAUAGGCUUCAAACUGUCUCCCUUUGUCCCGUCCCUCCCCUUUCCUGGAGAUGACAAGCAAUUGGAUGUGGAUUUUACAUGUAAUAUCAUGCAAAAUAUAUUUCUAUAUUAUUCAUUUUUGUAAGGUAAUAAUAAUAAAACUAAAAUCCCCAAAUAUACUCUUUUCA